GCCGGCAUAGCUCAGUUGGUAGAGCAACUGAUUUGUAAUCAGUGGGUCGCGAGUUCGAUUCUUGCUGCCGGCACCA
RNAcentral lists this transfer RNA (76 nucleotides) under Devosia insulae DS-56. RNAcentral describes it as "tRNA-Thr". It matches the Rfam family "tRNA". From Rfam's summary of the family: Transfer RNA (tRNA) molecules are approximately 80 nucleotides in length. Their secondary structure includes four short double-helical elements and three loops (D, anti-codon, and T loops). The record is from RNAcentral. RNAcentral also lists the same sequence under 9 other names. Lineage: Bacteria; Pseudomonadati; Pseudomonadota; Alphaproteobacteria; Hyphomicrobiales; Devosiaceae.